UACGAAGGGGGCUAGCGUUGUUCGGAUUUACUGGGCGUAAAGCGCACGUAGGCGGAUCGUUAAGUCGGGGGUGAAAUCCUGGAGCUCAACUCCAGAACUGCCUUCGAUACUGGCGAUCUUUGAGUCCGGAAGAGGUGAGUGGAACUCCUAGUGUAGAGGUGGAAUUCGUAGAUAUUAGGAAGAACACCAGUGGCGAAGGCGGCUCACUGGUCCGGUACUGACGCUGAGGUGCGAAAGCGUGGGGAGCAAACAGG
This 254-nucleotide ribosomal RNA is filed under the name uncultured bacterium. RNAcentral describes it as "partial 16S ribosomal RNA". It matches the Rfam family "Bacterial small subunit ribosomal RNA", at positions 524 to 776 of the family's 1533-position model. The record is from RNAcentral.